GCCCGGGUUUGUGGUCAGAGUUAUCCUUCUCCUAGGUGAACUGCCUACCACGGCUAACGAGCUCCACCUGCCCGGGUUUAUUGUUCGGAGUUUGCUCUCCUAGGUGUAUUGCCUAUGACGGCUCACGAGCCCAACCUGUCCGGGUUUUUUAUUCGGAGUUUGCUCUCCUAGGUGUAUUGCCUAUGACGGCUCACGAGCCCAACCUGUCCGGGUUUUUUAUUCGGAGUUUGCUCUCCUAGGUGUAUUGCCUAUGACGGCUCACGAGCCCAACCUGUCCGGGUUUGUUGUUCGGAGUUGUCCCUCUCCUAGGCAGAUUGCCUACCACGGCUAACGACCUCCACCUGCCCGUGUUUGUGGUCAGAGUUUUCCUUCUCCUAGGUGAACUGCUCACGCUAACGACCUCCACCUGCCCGGGUUUGUAAUCGGAGUUUGCUCUCCUAGGUGAAUUGCUUUCGCUAACGACCUCCACCUGCCCGGGUUUGUAAUCGGAGUUUGCUCUCCUAGAUGAACUGCUCACGCUAACGACCUCCACCUGCCCGGGUUUGUAAUCGGAGUUUGCUCUCCUAGAUGAACUGCUCACGCUAACGACCUCCAUCUGCCCGGGUUUGUAAUCGGAGUUUGCUCUCCUAGAUGAACUGCUCACGCUAACGACCUCCACCUGCCCGGGUUUGUAAUCGGAGUUGUCCCUCUCCUAGAUGAAUUGCCUACCACGGCUAACGAGCUCCACCUGCCCGGGUUUAUUAUUCGGAGUUGUCCCUCUCCUAGGUGAAUUGCCUACCACAGCUAACGAGCUCCACCUGCCCGUGUUUGUUGUUCGGAGUUGUCCCUCUCCUAGGCAGAUUGCAUACCACGGCUAACGAGCUCCACCUGCCCGGGUUUAUUGUUCGGAGUUUGCUCUCCUAGGUGUAUUGCCUAUGACGGCUCACGAGCCCAACCUGCCCGGGUUUUUUAUUCGGAGUUUGCUCUCCUAGGUGUAUUGCCUAUGACGGCUCACGAGCCCAACCUGUCCGGGUUUUUUAUUCGGAGUUUGCUCUCCUAGGUGUAUUGCCUAUGACGGCUCACGAGCCCAACCUGUCCGGGUUUGUUGUUCGGAGUUGUCCCUCUCCUAGGCAGAUUGCCUACCACGGCUAACGACCUCCACCUGCCCGUGUUUGUGGUCAGAGUUUUCCUUCUCCUAGGUGAACUGCU
This is a long non-coding RNA of Eriocheir sinensis (Chinese mitten crab), 1188 nucleotides long. RefSeq lists it as uncharacterized. The transcript is spliced from 3 exons. The record is from RefSeq and is a predicted model, not a curated record. Lineage: Eukaryota; Metazoa; Arthropoda; Malacostraca; Decapoda; Varunidae.